Molecule: ribosomal RNA, 83 nt
Filed under: Synechococcus sp. SB0668_bin_13
Lineage: Bacteria; Bacillati; Cyanobacteriota; Cyanophyceae; Synechococcales; Synechococcaceae
Also listed under: 2 other names
Description: partial 23S ribosomal RNA
Source: RNAcentral
AAGAACACCCGUCAAUAGGCUCUAUGUGGAAGCCUAGCAAUAGGUGAAGCAAAGGGGUACUAAUAGACCGAGGGCUUGACUAA